UGUGCUUCGCUCUCCACUGAUGUGUGCCCAUUUUUGAAGUGGUUAUACCACUCUUUUAUUUGCGUUAUGUUCAUGGCAUCAUUGCCAAAAGCCUGCUGAAUCUUGUGAAUGGUUUCUGCUUGGGUAUCACCAAGCUGUUGGCAAAAUUUGAUGCAGUACCUUUGCUCAAGCAAGUUCUGUCAUGUUAUAGCAAAUAAGAAUCUGAUGGAAUUAUCAUUUGUAAC
Thalassophryne amazonica is the source of this 224-nucleotide long non-coding RNA. RefSeq lists it as uncharacterized. The transcript is spliced from 3 exons. NCBI's taxonomy places the organism in Eukaryota, Metazoa, Chordata, Actinopteri, Batrachoidiformes, Batrachoididae. The record is from RefSeq and is a predicted model, not a curated record.